UACGGGGGGGGUAAGCGUUGUUCGGAAUUACUGGGCGUAAAGGGCUCGUAGGUGGCCAACUAAGUCAGACGUGAAAUCCCUCGGCUUAACCGGGGAACUGCGUCUGAUACUGGAUGGCUUGAGUUUGGGAGAGGGACGCGGAAUUCCAGGUGUAGCGGUGAAAUGCGUAGAUAUCUGGAGGAACACCGGUGGCGAAGGCGGCGUCCUGGACCAACACUGACACUGAUGAGCGAAAGCCAAGGGAGCAAACGGG
RNAcentral lists this ribosomal RNA (253 nucleotides) under uncultured bacterium. Its description in RNAcentral is "partial 16S ribosomal RNA". It matches the Rfam family "Bacterial small subunit ribosomal RNA", at positions 524 to 776 of the family's 1533-position model. The record is from RNAcentral.